RNAcentral lists this transfer RNA (76 nucleotides) under Planctomycetota bacterium. RNAcentral describes it as "tRNA-Trp". It matches the Rfam family "tRNA". Rfam says of the family: Transfer RNA (tRNA) molecules are approximately 80 nucleotides in length. Lineage: Bacteria; Pseudomonadati; Planctomycetota. The record is from RNAcentral.
AGGGCAGUGGCGCAAUUGGCAGCGCGGGUGAUUCCAAAUCACUAGGUUGGGGGUUCAAGUCCUCCCUGCCCUGCCA